Molecule: small nucleolar RNA, 214 nt
Organism: Phyllostomus discolor (pale spear-nosed bat)
Lineage: Eukaryota; Metazoa; Chordata; Mammalia; Chiroptera; Phyllostomidae
Product: small nucleolar RNA U3
Exons: 1
Source: RefSeq, a predicted model, not a curated record
AAGACUAUACUUUCAGGGAUCAUUUCUAUAGUUUGUUACUAGAUAAUUUUCUCUGAAUGUGUAGAGCACCCGAAACCAUGAGGAAGAGGCCCAGUGUUCUUUCCUGAGCAUGAAGCUGGCUUUUGGGGUUACUUUUGCAGCUGCCAAUAACCACUGAUGAUCAUUCUUCUUUUCCUUUGGAAGAGUAAGAGGGAGAGAAUGCACACUGAGUGGU